This 656-nucleotide long non-coding RNA is filed under the name Marmota monax (woodchuck). Lineage: Eukaryota; Metazoa; Chordata; Mammalia; Rodentia; Sciuridae. The record is from RNAcentral.
GCUCCUUUGAGCCCUCUGCCUAUGCCAUAACACUCCACAAGCUGCGUGUUUAUCUGCCUGUUCAUAGCCUCACUGGACCGCAAGAUCUACAAAGGAAGAAACAUCCUAUUCACAGUUACACUAACAACAUGAACCAGUGUUGGUCCAUCCCAUGCUGAAAAACUGUUUAUUAAAUUAUUAGUAAUACUCAUUUUAUUAAAUAACAUUAUUGAAUUAGUGAAUAAAUUAGGUUCAGAAAAAAUCAAAAAGUCAAAAACAUCAGGAACUAAAUAUUUAGAAAAUAAACAUUUGCUUUGCUUUUCCUGAGCAAAUUAAUAUACAUUUAUACUCUCCCUACCCACCUCUACUCCACCCUGUGUCCACAUGGCUUCUGUGAGCACCUGUUCGUUACUUGAGUCUGGGAAAAGAGUAAAGGCACUGAUCAAAAUUAAGUAUUUACUGAUUGUAACUACUUCAAGAGAUGUUCUGCUUAUUAUACCCGGGCAUUGAAGCCAGUCUUGCAGAACUAGAUGAACAACAGUGGUUCAUCUUUGGGCUGAGCAAAGAAGAUUCACUUGGUGUUAUGGACUGAAUUUUUUACCCUAAAAAUUCAUACAUUGAAGUUUGAACCCACAGUACAUCUUAGAAUGUGACUGUUUGGGGAGAUAAGAUCUUUA